AAAGAUAAUGACCAAAUAUUUUCCAUUCAUUCAUUGUGUAACCCUGUAAUAAAGAUGAAGCUGCUGUUUCUCUUUGCCUUCCUUGCGGUCGUCGCUUGCACUGUUCAGUCCUGUAGAGAUUGCUAUAGCAUGGGGAAGCGAUACCGAGGAAAUCAAACUUUCUCGUUGGUCUCUUUGUGUACUCGAUACACUUGUAAAUGCGGUUGCAAUGGGAUAACUUAUUGCCCAAGGAGUCUUAGAAAGAAAAUACCAUGCGGAAGAAAACGAAGGAGUCAGAGGAAUGAUGAUCACAGUUAGUGGCGAGGGUGGAUGCAGCUGUCAGGUGGUUGCGAUAUUGUAAAGACUGUUAUCGACACGAAUUCCUCUGCUGUCCUUUAGCGGUGAACAGAGACAAAUGCUUCAGUUGUUCUUUUGUAAAACUAUAUUUUAUUACAGUUUGAAUAAAUGAACUUUGCAAUCUGCAAUCAAA
Molecule: long non-coding RNA, 469 nt
Organism: Saccostrea cuccullata (small rock oyster)
Lineage: Eukaryota; Metazoa; Mollusca; Bivalvia; Ostreida; Ostreidae
Exons: 2
Source: RefSeq, a predicted model, not a curated record